This 61-nucleotide microRNA precursor is filed under the name Caenorhabditis elegans. RNAcentral describes it as "Cel-Mir-36-P3_pre stem-loop". Lineage: Eukaryota; Metazoa; Nematoda; Chromadorea; Rhabditida; Rhabditidae. The record is from RNAcentral.
UGUGGGUGUCCGUUGCGGUGCUACAUUCUCUAAUCUGUAUCACCGGGUGAACACUUGCAGU